UUCCCUUUGCCUUUUGGUCUGGCUCUCUCUACCUUUGCGUUGGUGCCUGACCGAAUGGAAAACCCUUCUUCGUUUUGCAGCCUGUGAGCUCCGGGUACCUGGAGACAAGGCCCCUGUGCUGCCCCCACCCCAGGAGCCGUCCCCCCAGCAUUCUGCAGUCCUCUGACUAUCAGCCUGGUGUGGACACUGAGGCCCAGAGAGGUGAUGUGAUUUGCCUAAAGUCAUGCAACUAGUGGCAGAGCCCAGCCUAGAAGCCAGGUGUCCUGGAUCUCAAGAUACUCCACUGCCUGAGGAAUGGAACAGAUAUAAAUCAUAAUACUUCAGGAUCCCAUUAUGAAAAUUGCCAGCGGGGACCUGUGUCUUCUACAAGUGACUGUAGCACAAGCUGUAAGAAUGCUGUAAACGACUUGUUGGAAAAAGAAGCAUGGCCCUCAGCCCCUGGCAGU
RNAcentral lists this long non-coding RNA (446 nucleotides) under Mus musculus (house mouse). RNAcentral describes it as "predicted gene 45846". Lineage: Eukaryota; Metazoa; Chordata; Mammalia; Rodentia; Muridae. The record is from RNAcentral.